AUUCCUUCUGCCACUGUUCUCCUACGUGAUGGUCAAACAUGGAAGUCUAUAUUGAAAACACUGGCUGGCUUUUACAACUUCAGUCUGGAUUAAAUGAUUUCAAGUAUACAAGUUAAGUAAAAUACUUUGAAAAUCUCUUUUACCAAGUCUUAUAUUCUAAUUCCACAGGAUAUGAUUUCUGUAUGUCUAUAGGAGGCUUAUUUAUAGGCAUAACGGUCAACACCUAUAAAAAUGAACCAAUUGUCAAUAAUCAUCACAUCUCCUAAACACAAAGAAUAAAUGAAAGGUUUAUAAAUUCUAAUCCUAAUCUCAAAGCAUAAUAGAUAUUUCCUAGGCACAUUUUAACUUAAAAAAUUUGAAAAUUAAAACGUAUUAGAAUUUGAAAAUCAAACAUUUAUCAAUUCAAGUUGAUUUUUAAUGAUCUAAAAGCAGAUUAUCUGUUUUUUCUUUCAUAUUUCUAGCAACGUUCAAGCUACCUGGGCUAUGUGUGUGACGCAAAAGUGUGUGCAUGGGUACUAUGAUAUGUGCAUGUUUGGUUUAUGUUGAAGGAGGCUGUUUUUGAGUCUAAAUGUUCACCUCUGAUCUCAUUCAACACUGAAGAUUAAAAGAGAUUUGAGGUUUUUCUGUGUCUCUAAUACUCUUAAAUAGACCUGGUUCCAAAAGUCUUUAUCCAUUUGUUUUCACAGAAAAUUUCAAAAAUCAAAUUAGCACCAUAAUCUUAUGUGUAAUUAAUAGUUGUAUUGGCAUACAACCCUUGAAAUGAAGCAAUGUCCAACAAGUAAAAUUUC
This 788-nucleotide long non-coding RNA is filed under the name Homo sapiens (human). RNAcentral's name for it is "HSALNT0046855". The record is from RNAcentral. Lineage: Eukaryota; Metazoa; Chordata; Mammalia; Primates; Hominidae.